GCUACCCGGAGGUGGCUCAGUUGGUCAGAGUGUGGUGCUGGUGAUGCCAAGGUCAUGGGUUCGAUCUCUGUAUGGGCCAGCU
This is a non-coding RNA of Podarcis lilfordi (Lilford's wall lizard), 82 nucleotides long. Lineage: Eukaryota; Metazoa; Chordata; Lepidosauria; Squamata; Lacertidae. The record is from the annotation of a GenBank genome assembly.